Molecule: ribosomal RNA, 480 nt
Filed under: uncultured bacterium
Lineage: Bacteria
Description: SSU rRNA
Rfam family: Bacterial small subunit ribosomal RNA
Source: RNAcentral
AGGACGAACGCUGGCGGCGUGCUUAACACAUGCAAGUCGAGCGGUAAGGCCCUUUCGGGGGUACACGAGCGGCGAACGGGUGAGUAACACGUGGGUGACCUGCCCUUAGCUCUGGGAUAAGCCUGGGAAACUGGGUCUAAUACCGGAUAUGACCUCGCGAUGCAUGUCGUGGGGUGGAAAGCCUUGUGCGGCUAGGGAUGGGCCCGCGGCCUAUCAGCUUGUUGGUGGGGUGAUGGCCUACCAAGGCGACGACGGGUAGCCGGCCUGAGAGGGCGACCGGCCACACUGGGACUGAGACACGGCCCAGACUCCUACGGGAGGCAGCAGUGGGGAAUCUUGCGCAAUGGGCGAAAGCCUGACGCAGCGACGCCGCGUGAGGGAUGACGGCCUCGGGUUGUAACCUCUUUCAGCCCUGACGAAGCGAAAGUGACGGUAGGGCGAGAAGAAGCACCGGCCAACUACGUGCCAGCAGCCGCGGUA